UACGGAGGAUCCGAGCGUUAUCCGGAUUUAUUGGGUUUAAAGGGUGCGCAGGCGGAAGAUUAAGUCGGUGGUGAAAUUUUGCAGCUCAACUGUAAAAGUGCCAUUGAUACUGGUUUUCUUGAGUGUGGAUGAAGUAGGCGGAAUUUGUGGUGUAGCGGUGAAAUGCAUAGAUAUCACGAGGAACUCCGAUUGCGCAGGCAGCUUACUAAACUACUACUGACGCUCAGGCACGAAGGCGUGGGGAUCAAACAGGAUUAGAUACCCCGGUA
RNAcentral lists this ribosomal RNA (269 nucleotides) under uncultured prokaryote. Its description in RNAcentral is "partial 16S ribosomal RNA". It matches the Rfam family "Bacterial small subunit ribosomal RNA", at positions 524 to 792 of the family's 1533-position model. The record is from RNAcentral.